AGCUUUAUAGUCAAUAAUGAUAUAAAAUUGCAAAUUUUAAGGAGUAUAAAUAAAUGCUAAGGCUU
This 65-nucleotide transfer RNA is filed under the name Papilio rex (regal swallowtail). RNAcentral describes it as "tRNA-Cys". Lineage: Eukaryota; Metazoa; Arthropoda; Insecta; Lepidoptera; Papilionidae. The record is from RNAcentral.